This is a long non-coding RNA of Dalotia coriaria, 817 nucleotides long. RefSeq lists it as uncharacterized. The transcript is spliced from 9 exons. The record is from RefSeq and is a predicted model, not a curated record. Lineage: Eukaryota; Metazoa; Arthropoda; Insecta; Coleoptera; Staphylinidae.
CCGCCGGCUUUACGCAUCUAUUGCUUUCUUAUCAUAAACUGUCGCGUUGUUGCUUGCACAGUUUGCAGUCAGUUUCGUGCCGGUCUCUGCUUGAUCCAGGCGUAAUUUACUCGACUCAUAUUGUUUGUCCGGGCAUCUACUUUCUAAAUUUGAAUUAUAUUCGAUUCUCAAUCGACUAUAGUAAUGUUAUUUACUGUUUGCGCGUAUAUAGUCCAUAGUUAAGUGCAUCGCCCCCAUGUUGAUUUGAUAUUCAUCAUUAGGAUGACCCAUCGUGCUGGUUAUUUGCCGUUCCUUGGAGUCCAUGAGUCUUGCAUUGCAAUUGCCUUCGAGUUCCGAGUUCCUUCGAGUCACGAGCUAAAUUAGAAUGCGAAUUUCAUUCGCUUCGUCGUUCGACUCCCGAUUUAAAAUAAAAUAAAUAUUGACACCCCUUCCCACAUUUUCCCUUAACAAUGUCAUUUAUUUCACAGAUUUUAUCAUCUUCAACAAUAGUCCUGAGUGUUACAUCGAGUGAAAUACUGGUAUGUGGGAUUUUGCACUUGAGUCUUACAUCGUAGAAGGAGCAUUCUUGCAUCAGAUUGGAUUUUACACCUGAGUCUGACAUCGUAGAAGGACCAUUCUUGCAUCAGAUUGGAUUUUGCACCUGAGUCUGAAAUAGUAGAAGGACUAUUCUUACAUCAGAUUGGAUUUUGCACCUGAGUCUGACAUCGUAGAAGGACCAUUUUUGCAUCAGAUUGGAUUUUGCACCUGAAUAUGACAUCGUAGAAGGACCAUUCUAGUAUCAGAUUUGAUUUUGCACCUGAGUUUAUCAUCGUAGUAG